UUGCUUUGCCGGCACACACACUAAAAUCAGAACAAUACAGAGAAGAUUAGUGGGGCUCCUAAUGUGCAAGGAAGACACGCAAAUGGGUGAUGCAUUCCAUAUUUUU
Molecule: small nuclear RNA, 106 nt
Organism: Phyllostomus hastatus (greater spear-nosed bat)
Lineage: Eukaryota; Metazoa; Chordata; Mammalia; Chiroptera; Phyllostomidae
Source: RefSeq, a predicted model, not a curated record